Molecule: transfer RNA, 74 nt
Filed under: Spirochaetota bacterium
Lineage: Bacteria; Pseudomonadati; Spirochaetota
Description: Spirochaetes bacterium tRNA-Leu
Rfam family: tRNA
About the family: Transfer RNA (tRNA) molecules are approximately 80 nucleotides in length. Their secondary structure includes four short double-helical elements and three loops (D, anti-codon, and T loops).
Source: RNAcentral
GCCCAUGUAGGCAAAUAGGAAAAGCCGCCAGAUUUAGGUUCUGGUGCUUGGGGGUUCGAUUCCCUCCAUGGGUA